Molecule: long non-coding RNA, 231 nt
Filed under: Ananas comosus (pineapple)
Lineage: Eukaryota; Viridiplantae; Streptophyta; Magnoliopsida; Poales; Bromeliaceae
Description: long non-coding RNA (ACOM_LNC004149)
Source: RNAcentral
CACUCUAAAAGUAAAAAUUCUAAAAUGCAACGGGUAUAUUGGUGACGUGGCGUAACGAAUCAAUCAAAUAUUUCCUUUUAGGAGUAUAUGUCCUAUCAUGAUUAAAAAGAUAUAUUUUAUUAUAUUUUUGUUGAAAAGAAGAAAUAUGAUUGGCUUAUUAUUGAUGACGUGUAAGUAUAACAGUAUAGAAUUCUCUUAUAAAAGGAGAGGUGAAGAAGAAAAAAAAUAUUG